UUGGGGUAUUCGGGCCCGAAGUUUACAUGGUGCAACAAGCAAGAUCCCAAUAGCAAUGUUUGAUGUCGUCUUGACCGUGUUGUGGCUAAUGCUGCGUUCAACAGCCUCUUUUGUGAUUGCAGCGUGGAGAAUGUCAUUGCUACCACGUCCGAUCAUUACCCCAUCCGUAUUUCUCUGGAUAUUCUGUCCCAGCAGCGCCAUUCGACUCCGGUACAACACGGUUUCAGGUUCGAAGCUAUGUGGCUGCGGGCAUCUGACUAUAAAGAAACUCUCGAACAUGCGUGGUCCACUGGAAGGGCUGGGCUUUCUUCUCUGAGUUCUACUUGGGAAAACUUGAAAAGUGUGGCAUCCUCUCUUCGUACAUGGAGCAGGGAGUCUUUUGGCUCCAUUCGCAAGCAUAUUGGGAAGAUGGAACGCCGUCUGGCGUCUAUCAGGUCCUCUCCGCCUUCCCCAGCUUCCUUAUCUAAAGAGCGACAUAUCGAGGCUCAACUCUGUGAGCUGUUUGAACGGGAGGAAACCAUGGAAAGGCAGCGUUCACGGGUGGAUUGGCUCAAAUCAGGUGAUCGUAAUACAGAGUUCUUCCAGGCCAGAGCGUCGGCUAGGCGAAGGACUAACAGGAUCCAUUCGCUCCUUCGGGAGGAUGGUUCGGCUUGUACCUCUCAAGGGCAGAUCAAGGGCAUGGUUCAAUCCUUCUAUGAAGAUCUCUUCACGUCUGAACCCCAACCGUCUGCGGAUGAGGUGGUGCGGGCUAUCCCAGGCAAGGUAACUAGAGAGAUGAAUUCGGAUCCGUGCAGGCCCUACUCAGACGACGAGAUUAAGUCGGCGCUGUUUCAGAUGGGUCCUACCAAGGCUCCCAGACCGGACGGUUUCCCUGCCCUCUUUUAUCAGACUCAUUGGGAGUUCUUGGGGGAGGACAUCUGUCAGGAGGUUCAGGGUUUCUUGGAGGGGAGGCCGAUUCCAGAGGGUUUUUGUGAUUCCAUCAUUGUUUUGAUUCCAAAGACUGUCAAGCCCAAACACUUGAACUUCCGUCCCAUCAGCCUCUGUAAUGUGCUCUACAAAAUUGCUUCCAAAGUCUUAGCUAACAGACUGAAGGCCAUUCUGCCUGUGGUGGUGUCUGAGACUCAAAGUGCCUUCGUCCCCGGCAGGUUGAUCACGGACAAUGCAUUGAUUGCCUAUGAAUGCCUUCACACAAUCAGGAAGCAAUGCGUGAAGAAACCUUUCUUUGCUCUCAAGAUUGACAUGAUGAAGGCCUAUGAUCGUGUGGAGUGGAGUUAUCUCCAUUAA
RNAcentral lists this ribosomal RNA (1284 nucleotides) under Triticum aestivum (bread wheat). Its description in RNAcentral is "partial small subunit ribosomal RNA". Lineage: Eukaryota; Viridiplantae; Streptophyta; Magnoliopsida; Poales; Poaceae. The record is from RNAcentral.